This is a long non-coding RNA of Nicotiana attenuata, 804 nucleotides long. RefSeq lists it as uncharacterized. The transcript has 4 exons. NCBI's taxonomy places the organism in Eukaryota, Viridiplantae, Streptophyta, Magnoliopsida, Solanales, Solanaceae. The record is from RefSeq and is a predicted model, not a curated record.
AUUUUUACGAUUUUUGGUUAUUCUUGAUUUAAUAACAUAAUUUGAUUUGUUUUGGUAGAGAAAUAAAAACACUGGAAAAGAACCAAACUUGCAGAAACUUUCGGAAUUGACUCACAUGAAGGACGGACAUUGGGUUAAUGAUGCCUCUGCUGAAUUAAAUGAUAAGGUGAACGAAUAUAUUGCUGAACAAAUCCAAGAAAUUGAAGAGGAUACCGAUUUGGACCGGAUUGUUAAUGCCGCAUUUGUGGAAGUUGUUGGAGAAACGUCAAGUUAUUGUCGGGGUCAAGGAUCGGGAGUUAAGUCAACAACUAGGAGAUCCAUGAAUGGAAUUCAAGAGAAACUGCAAGCACAACAAAAAGAGGCAGAAGAAGAACGUCGUAAACGAGUGUAGAAUGCCAGCUAAAAGAAGUACAGAAACAGGUUGAGGAGGAGCGAAAAAAUCGAGAAGCCUUGGUGGUUGACCAAAAAUUGUUAAAAGAGAGCAUGAUGGCACUAGCAUCCCAUAUACUAAGUAGUGAGAAUGGAGUUUCUGGUGGACUUCUAAACAUUAUUUCCAAUUUAAGUGGUUCAAAUGAGGCAACCCAUUUAAGACUUAUGGAUAACAUCACGGAUGAAGAUGAAUAAACCAACAUAGCUGACAAUAUGGUUCAUCUAAUGCUCAAGCUACUAGAAGAAGAUUUACUUUUGGGUUGUUAUUAGAUUAGAAAUUAUGAACCUGUAGAUGCUCUUGUUAUUAUUUUUAAGUAAGAACAUGUGUUUUAGUAGUAUUUAGUUUUUGAAAGAAUGUAAAUACUUAGUGCAUUA